This 115-nucleotide ribosomal RNA is filed under the name Naegleria gruberi. Lineage: Eukaryota; Heterolobosea; Eutetramitea; Acrasida; Naegleriidae. The record is from RNAcentral.
GGCUACGGCCAUAUCACGAUGAAUGCACCUCUAUCCGAUUUGAGAAGUUAAGCAUCGUCGAGCCACAUCAGUACUGAGGUUGGAGACAACUUGGGAACCUGUGGUGCUGUAGUCU